Molecule: ribosomal RNA, 393 nt
Filed under: uncultured bacterium
Lineage: Bacteria
Description: bacterial SSU rRNA
Rfam family: Bacterial small subunit ribosomal RNA
Source: RNAcentral
GACGAACGCUGGCGGCGUGCUUAACACAUGCAAGUCGAACGGUCUCCAUCCCGUGGCAACACGGGGGGAAGAGAUAGUGGCGAACGGGUGAGUAACACGUGAGAAACCUGUCCUGGUCUCUGGGAUAACAGUCGGAAACAACUGCUAAUACCGGAUGCCGUCGGAGCGUCGCAUGGCGCGCUGACGAAAGGGUUACUGGAUCAGGAGGGUCUCGCGGCCUAUCAGCUUGUUGGUGGGGUAACGGCCUACCAAGGCAUCGACGGGUAGCUGGUCUGAGAGGAUGAUCAGCCACACUGGGACUGAGACACGGCCCAGACUCCUACGGGAGGCAGCAGUGGGGAAUCUUGCGCAAUGGGCGAAAGCCUGACGCAGCAACGCCGCGUGCGGGAAGAA